Molecule: non-coding RNA, 27 nt
Filed under: Mus musculus (house mouse)
Lineage: Eukaryota; Metazoa; Chordata; Mammalia; Rodentia; Muridae
Source: RNAcentral
UCUUAGUCCAGGUUGAGGCCAUUAUAU